UACGGAGGGUGCGAGCGUUGUCCGGAAUCACUGGGCGUAAAGGGCGCGUAGGCGGCGCGGAAAGUCGUCGGUGAAAGCUCGGGGCUCAACCCUGAGUCUGCCGGUGAUACUCCCGCGCUCGAGCUCACUAGAGGCAGGCGGAAUUCCGGGUGUAGCGGUGGAAUGCGUAGAGAUCCGGAAGAACACCAGUGGCGAAGGCGGCUCACUGGCCCGAGUACUGACGCUGAGGCACGAAAGCGUGGGGAGCAAACAGGG
Molecule: ribosomal RNA, 255 nt
Filed under: uncultured bacterium
Lineage: Bacteria
Description: partial 16S ribosomal RNA
Rfam family: Bacterial small subunit ribosomal RNA
Source: RNAcentral